UCGUGUAGCCUUGUUUAGCAACGACAUUUAGUUGUGAUGCGCUGUAGUAACUGUAGCUCGCUAACUAAGCCGACUCUGCCACUUCCACUGCCACCUACCAGCUUACACUGUGCUGCAAACUCAGAAAAGAAAGACAGAAAACCAGCGGGGGGAUAAAACAAGAACACGACUGAUUUUAGAGCGAAGCCAAGAGUAAACGGCAGGGUGGCUUUUCGGCGCUGGAGUUAGCUGAGGGAGUUGGAGAGCUCGGAGAGUGAUGCUGACCUUAUUGAUAACUGUCUGUGAGACAGAUUUGAAUCUUCUUGAAAAUCUGUGAAACUACCUGGAACGACGAGUAAGACGACAGGGGAGGCAUCCACAAAAUCUGGCCGAACUGAGCAAUUCUUCGCUGUGAGCUAAAUUGAGUACAGUGUGCAGAAGAGAAAGAGAGGCAAAGGCAGCAGUAGAGAGGCUUCAGCAUCAUCCCAGCGCAAAGAGUGAAGCAGAAGAUCCAAACUAGCCAACAUUGCAGUGGCAUCCUCAAAGAUACUCAAAAACCCCUUACACAUGCUCUCCGCCUUGAUCUCUACAUACUGACACAUC
Long non-coding RNA from Pygocentrus nattereri (red-bellied piranha), 582 nucleotides. RefSeq lists it as uncharacterized. NCBI's taxonomy places the organism in Eukaryota, Metazoa, Chordata, Actinopteri, Characiformes, Serrasalmidae. The record is from RefSeq and is a predicted model, not a curated record. The transcript is spliced from 4 exons.